UACGUAGGGUGCAAGCGUUAAUCGGAAUUACUGGGCGUAAAGCGUGCGCAGGCGGCUUUGCAAGACAGAUGUGAAAUCCCCGGGCUCAACCUGGGAACUGCAUUUGUGACUGCAUGGCUAGAGUGCGGCAGAGGGGGAUGGAAUUCCGCGUGUAGCAGUGAAAUGCGUAGAUAUGCGGAGGAACACCGAUGGCGAAGGCAAUCCCCUGGACCUGUACUGACGCUCAUGCACGAAAGCGUGGGGAGCAAACAGG
RNAcentral lists this ribosomal RNA (253 nucleotides) under uncultured bacterium. RNAcentral describes it as "partial 16S ribosomal RNA". It matches the Rfam family "Bacterial small subunit ribosomal RNA", at positions 524 to 776 of the family's 1533-position model. The record is from RNAcentral.